This 1315-nucleotide long non-coding RNA is filed under the name Anas platyrhynchos platyrhynchos (common mallard). RNAcentral describes it as "lncRNA (ENSAPLG00000019227.1)". The record is from RNAcentral. Lineage: Eukaryota; Metazoa; Chordata; Aves; Anseriformes; Anatidae.
AUGUCUGUCAUAGCAAAUACACUUCAGGAGAAGUCCCUUUGGCAGCUUCAUUUCUCUUCUCUGAACGUGUUCCAGGAACUUAAUAUCCUUCUUAUAGAGACCCAAAACACUUCCAACUCCCUGGACUGCUUUCUGAUAAAAACUUGUUACAAUACACCUCAAGAAUUUCAAUGGAUGAGUGACUCACGUAACAGCUACACUGUUCUAGCCACUACAAUGCUAUUGCAUGGUGUCCUGGACCAUUCAAAAAUGUUGCUUGGAAGCCUGAAUGUGGAAAGCUGUGAGCUGUGCACAUUUUCCCUUCUGCAUAGCUAGCCAUCACCUGGCUCUGCUUGGGGGAGACAGCCCCCAGUUGCACUCUCAUUGCCCUCAGGCAUAGCCCUUCCCUUGAGGGGGAAAAAUCUCCAGUAAUUUCACAACCUCUGGCGGUUGUUACUUCUCCUGGUGUCAACACCACUGAAAGCUACGUGCCAGUGCUGACAAAUAAGGGGAUGUAUUUACAUUGGAUGCUCAUCCCACACUGGUCUAACAGACGCUGUGGGAGACCUAGAAGAAGAGACCUAUUUCUCCUCUGGUUGAACCAGACAAAGAAAUUUCUUAAGUGAAUAAGCUCAUGCACUGGAUAGCCACCACAGCCUAAUGACAGGAGACUACAGCAUUCUUACCAGUAGUGUCAGGAUUAAAAGUCUACAGUGCUGCAAAAGUUUUGGCUUCAUUGCAGACUAACAAGGAUGUGCAAUUUGAGCAAAUGAAAGGCAGAUCUUUUGUGAGUUGAUGUAAAGUUCUGAUGUUUCCUCCAACUUAUUUGUCCUCAUAACUGUCAUCAGUCUAGAAGGAAUUUUGGCAGCCUUGUUAAGGAAGCAGCCAGAAAACCUAUCACAGUAAUAAGUAGACAGCAUCAGCCUGGAUUCUCUAAUCUAUUUAUAAUCAAGAAUUGUCCAAAGUACAAAAGUCUCUCUGUUGUGAGGGUCUUUGUUUGGAUUUCCAGGGCACACCCUCUCUGCUUUGCCUUGCAUGCAAUCAUAUUAACACAUACAAUAACGCAAUUUAAGCGUGACUUACUGCAGGGGGUGGGCACACACUAGCUCAGAGGUCCCAGCAAACUGUGGCUUCUGGCUCAGGGCCUGUUGGCAGCAGCACAAAUGACAACACCGGAGAAGAAGCUCUGUGCAGGUUGCUGCCAAGCUGCUACUCUCAGUAUAAGUUUCUUGAUGUAAAAAAAAAAAAAAAAAAAAAAAAAAAAAAAAAACACCAAUUUUAUUACCAAAAUCUAAUUGGCCUAGUGAGAGCACAUUUUAAAGGCUGCAAAUGAACA